This 293-nucleotide unclassified non-coding RNA is filed under the name uncultured Alphaproteobacteria bacterium. RNAcentral describes it as "contains 16S-23S intergenic spacer region". Lineage: Bacteria; Pseudomonadati; Pseudomonadota; Alphaproteobacteria. The record is from RNAcentral.
GGGACUACAAGGGUAUCUAAUCCUGUUUGCUCCCCACGCUGUCGCGCCUCAGCGUCAGUAAUAGGCCAGGUCGCCGCCUUCGCCACCGGUGUUCUUCCCAAUAUCUACGAAUUUCACCUCUACACUGGGAAUUCCACGACCCUCUCCUACCCUCUAGCAUAGCCGUCUCAAACGCAGCCCCCAGGUUAAGCCCAGGAAUUUCACGCCUGACUGACUAAGCCGCCUACGCGCCCUUUACGCCCAGUAAUUCCGAGCAACGCUAGCCCCCUUCGUAUUACCGCGGCGGCUGGCAC